GCUCUUUUACCUUUUUACAUUUUUCACUAUGAAAGUAACGAAACCCGUGCACAAUGUCACUGUGUUUUCUAUUUACAAGCCAAUCCCACGACUUUAAUUAAUUAAUACGUAAUGACUUCGAUUUGACAACAAGUUUCAUGUACAUAAGUCUAUGAUUCCACUCUCGUCUGUCGACUUUCAUUAUGAUUUUUUGUUUUUGAUUUCUCUAAACAUCUAUAAUCUUUAAUCGCGGUCUCUCUUUCUCUUUUUCUCCCAAUGGUGCUUGUUGGUAAUGACGAUAUGUUUAAGCACACAACAGUAAUAUCUCAUUGGUCUCGCUACUUAAAUUUAAUAAAGAAAUCAAUUUUAUACCCACCACCCAAGGAACAGGGCUACAUUCAUCUUACAACGUCCAGAAGAAAACUUUAUAGACCACCUAAAGUAUGUAUAUUGUUGAUCAAUAUAAAAUUCGGAGACAAUUUAAGCAUGUUCCUCUGCCCGUCUGUAUAGUGCCUAUUGCAGACAUUCUCCCUGCCGCGACAAUGGAGCUAUUGACUUCAAAUUUAGCAGAAAGAUUGGAUGUUCUUGCACGCAAGCUGGUCUUGAAAGUGGGUCAAAGCGAUCGAAGGGCACUUCUACGUAAAUUUAAAAAAAAAUAAAAACGUCUGCACUAUUGCUUCAGUACAAUGAAAGACUGCCAUAGGCCAAACGAUCAAGAUGUUAAUAGCAACCGCACAGCAGCCAUCGUAUUUACUUUUUAUUUAGAUCACAGAUACAUACACUUAUUAUGUAUUUAUGUAUUAUGUAAGUAUAUUA
Molecule: long non-coding RNA, 795 nt
Organism: Glossina fuscipes
Lineage: Eukaryota; Metazoa; Arthropoda; Insecta; Diptera; Glossinidae
Exons: 3
Source: RefSeq, a predicted model, not a curated record